Elgaria multicarinata webbii is the source of this 789-nucleotide long non-coding RNA. RefSeq lists it as uncharacterized. NCBI's taxonomy places the organism in Eukaryota, Metazoa, Chordata, Lepidosauria, Squamata, Anguidae. The record is from RefSeq and is a predicted model, not a curated record. The transcript has 2 exons.
GGGGGGGGGAAGAGGAAGAGCAGGAAGAAGACCCCCACACGCACACACACACAUGGGUAGGAAGACCCACACGGCAGAACUCUUGUUCUCUUCUAUCCCCAGGCCUGGCUGGAGCACCAGAGGGACCAGUUCCAAAUCCAUGAGAACAACUUCCUGGCCUUUGAUGCCAUGUGGCACGCAGUGCAGGGCAUGGGCCGGGCGAUCCAGGGCAAGACCGACUAUGGCCUCAUGGCCUUUGCUGACAAGGGACGGUCAGCAAAAGUGACUCGUUUCCUGCAUUCAAGCCUUGGACAAAGUUGUUCAAUUUCUUUAAACCACGGGUUAGCUGCGUUUACGUUUAAAACCUGAUGAUACGCUCUCCAUCUGCUUUCCCACAAAUGGUACGGCACCCUUUUAUCAAUAAAAGUCAGGAGAGGGUAUUGUGGCUUUUUUAGAUAAAGCGACGAAGACUGUUUUUGUUGUUUUUUCCCUUCUUCUUGCUUAUAGAGGUUAGAGGAAGAGUUAGGUUGAAUAUUUUUUUAGGUUGAAUUUUUUUAUUAAAUUAAAAUCUUUCUACAUAUAAUUUUACAACUACAUUCAAGAUACCAUCACAAACAUGAUACUCUCUCUUGACUUUUGGUUUUACUCAUACACUUGCUCAGUCCCUAAAGUUACCACUAAUAUAUCAUUCAAGUUAUAUUCACUAAUGACAUUUCUGUAUAACCUUAAGUAAUCAGUGCAUCGGCAUUGGAUAAACAAGGCCAAAGUUUCCUCCAUUGAACUGGGGAAAUCCUUCCUUUCUCUUCUCUA